Non-coding RNA from Pelobates cultripes (western spadefoot toad), 1021 nucleotides. The record is from the annotation of a GenBank genome assembly. Lineage: Eukaryota; Metazoa; Chordata; Amphibia; Anura; Pelobatidae.
GGCAGCUUUUCCUAAAAUAGUCAUAAUGGAGGCCCACAAAGCAGUGAGCACAAUGUAAGAAGCUCAGCGUCUCUGCUCAUUCUCACCGUGCUGUUUAAACACAGAAAGUGGGGGCGAGGCGAGGGGGGAGAGGUUCAAAGAAUGGAAGGAGAACAGGAGGAGAGGGGAGAGAAUGGCAGAAUGGGUGUGAAGGGAAAGACAGGAAGAAUGGAAAGGGCACACCAUUAAAAGUUUACAGAAUAAUGACAUUAUACAUGAUGUGUGUCACGAGAGAAGCAGGACUCAUGACACAAAGCCCACAGAUUAAUAGGAUUAUAUGCUGUACAACAGGACGUCCCAUACAAAUCCCACUGAUAAGCAGACUGUACAUUGUGUGCCACCUGGGGGGACACUGUGGGGACAUUAUAAUCCUCCAAAAUAUCUGAAGCCACCGAACCAGGGAAUGUCAUUUGUAGGUGUUCCUAAAGCUGGCUUCUGAACGGUUUAGAAACUGACAGGUAUUUUGGGAUGGUUAGCGGCAUUGUAAGGUAUUAGGAGCACUUAUUAAAGGUGGCUUCAGUGAUGUGUGACAUUAAGGGCUAGGUGGUCAUGUCGACAUGUUUGAUUUAAAAGAUAUUUUGGCAGAUAUAUUGAGUGCUUGCACAGUCACAUAUAAGAGCUAAGGUAUGAAUUUAGGGAUGGGUUGUCACAUGGGCAGCAGGUAUUUAGGAAUGGUUGGCCCCACUGGAAGAUAUUUAUGGAUGGAUGGAACGAACUAUGACCUCAGUUUACUAUACCGCAGGUGAUCUGAUUGGUUGCUCAGAGUAUGGGUUAAAUGUGGUGUGUUAUAGUAUAGAUUAUAAAGAAUAAUAUUAAUUAUAUCCUGAGCUUAGAGGUGCCGUGGAAAAAACCCUAAACAUUAGCAGCUGUGUAAUGCAGGUGUAGUACAGAUCUUUUACCAAGUUCUGUAGGAUUACCCCCAAAUAUUUAUUAAUUCCAAUUCUAAUUCUGGUAUUUUUAGUAGAAUCACCAUAUUGCCAAU